This is a non-coding RNA of Anas platyrhynchos (mallard), 3001 nucleotides long. NCBI's taxonomy places the organism in Eukaryota, Metazoa, Chordata, Aves, Anseriformes, Anatidae. The record is from RefSeq and is a predicted model, not a curated record.
CAAACCUGAAACAGCCGACCAAUUAAGCAACUACUCAUUUUGAAAUCUGCCAAUAGUUAAAAAUUUUCCUUCACUUUGUGGCGCCAAGGUAUGGAUAAUCCAUCUACAGACAGAUCAAGACCAUGCACAAUGUGAAUAUCCCUAAAUUAUGUCUCAGAUGAGCAAUCAUAUGCAAGGAGAAAUCACAUUUUAAAAGCAUGUAUUUUCAGCCCAAGGCCAACCUGCUCACUUUUAAUGGGACUGGUCAUUGUUUGAUGUUGUUAAAUCUUGAGAGCUACUGGACAGGGCACAGAAACAAAUGGUGCAUAAAAGUAGUUCUACAAAAUUGUUUGCUAUCCAUAACUUUAAAUCCACGUUUAGCCCCACUCUGCUAGGCCUCCCCUUCCCAAUUACAAAUCAGCCAAUGUCAAAAAACAGAUGAAUUAAAUACGUGAAAAAGGAGGGAAAAAGAAGGAAGCAAUGAAAAGGAAAAAAUAAAAAUAAAAAACAAAGGGGGAAGGGGAAAAUAUUCCAGAAGCUCCCUUACUCUUUGAACAUACUGACCACUUCAUGGCACAACGCUCCUACUCAUGACUGAGGAAAUUAUUUUUUUAAGUAAUGCAGAACUGUAAAAGCUAAGACAAUAGUGAGCAAGGCCACCUUCCAAGGCCACCUACAAUGAAAGAACUGACUUUUUACUAUCUUUCAUUGUAAUUUACACAGGAAGAGGUGGCAAAAUGGAAUCUAAGCUGUUUAGCCUGGAUGAAUUUUUAUUGUUGUUGAGUCAUACACUUUUCUUAGACUUUCAUCUGGACAAGCUUGGUGAAAACUAUUACAGGUUCUACACAGAUGGCCUCAUUUAAGCAUAAGGUAAGGUACUCACACAACAAAUGUGAAACAGCUCAGAAAUUCAUCUUAUUCUUACCUGAGACUAUUGAGAUCAAGAUCAUCUGUAUCGAAGUCCAGAAGAGGCUGUGGGGUGUCACUGGGACCAUGCGACUGCAGCACUGACGAACUGGAUGAAAUGACAGUGGUUUGGCCAGAGGGAUGAAUUGUUUUGAACUGGAACUGUGGGCCCAUCCACAGGCGCCGAUGAGGCCCGGUGUGAGUCACUAUUUCAACCUGUGGGAAUAUGGGAAACGGUCAACACAAAACUGCAACCUAAUACACUGAGUGGUUCUUUCAGUGCACUGAAGCCCCAGAAUCUUGUUGUUCUCAAGCAAAAAAAGCAUUUUGUGCCAUCAGUUCAGGGAAAAACUGAAUUUCAGAACAUCUUUGUUAGAGAAAGGAUGCUGUAGCCAAAGCCAAGAGCUUCUUGAAGAGCUGUGAAGGCUCUUGAACCAUCUGCUUUAGGACACUGCACCCAGUUCUGAAAACUGCUCAAGAGGCUGUCAGUCCAUCCUGGCCACCUUCACCUGGUCCUGUUCAUUCCUCCCUCUGCCAUGACAAAAUGCAUGCUGUAACUCAACUGCUAAACGUCUCCUGCUGUGGCAGCAAAUAGGGGAUCACGGUUCUGCCUGCACCUACCUGAAGUGGACAGAGGAAUUGAAAGUUAAUUUUCCCCAAAUUUUCUUGUCAGUACCUUCAAUCCUGACUGGGACACGGGAUACACUUUUUAAAAGCAAGCAGUUACAGCUAUGUUCCGGCUGCUUUCUAAAAGUUCACACAUUAAACAGCACCGCUUCACAUGUAUAUAGUGCGAACUGUAUUUCAAAUCAAAGCUUGUAAUUAUUGUUGGCAUAUCCGAGGAAACUGCUGGCAGAGACCAUCUUGCUGGAAAGCAACAAGAUUUGUAACAGAGCAAUGCGAAGUGCACCGUGAGACACUGAGCACCUCGGGUCACAUUCAUUACUAUGCUGAUGGCAGGCAAGCAUGGAUGUGCAACACGGAGCUUAGGAGGGCUGACACGCUGAUUUAACUGAAAUUCUGACAAUUAAAACAAAGCUAAGGGUGUUUGCUUGCCAUGAAUAACCACACGUACUUUAUAUUAUAGGUGCAUAUGAGAUCUGUGGGCAUGUUUACGAGUGGAUAUACACACAAACACAGACAGAAGUGUCACAGUUCCGUGCCUACUUCCAAAAGGCACAGAGAAUACAGAGGGUGUACCUAAGAAACAAUAAUUUCAAAUACUCAGAUUUUCCUUUAGGUAUUGGCUUUCAAUGAAACUAGAUAUAAACUUGAGAAAAUAAGUUACAUUUCAGUAAAUGCAUCCAAAAUGCUUUUGAAAAAUGUCUUUUUAUGCUGAUAGUUCUAUACCUCAUGAGUACCAACUUUUACAGACUGAAAUAUGUCAACUCUAGGAAUACAAACAACCACGGGAAUUUAAGAAUGUAACAUUUUCAGCAAUGUACAUGAUCAGGAUUGGGCCUUGUAAACAGAAGAGCAAACAACGUUGCUCAGUAAUACAAUUAAAAAAAAUAAAACAGCCUUUAAAGAUCAGAAGCAGGAAAUGUGAAAUGAAAAUAUUAAGCUCUGGUGAACUCAUAUUUUUAAGAUGACAAAAAUGGACUGCUAAAUUUCUAUAAAUUUUUGCUGAAACAAUGAUUAGCUUCACACAAAGAAUGUAAUUUAGUAAGCACGUUCAUCAAGAUUUAUUUCUGUAUCUCUAUGACAUGCAAGUGCAUCUUACAGUUUUCUUUACUCUUAUAUAUGUGCAUUAAUACUGAUUCUUAAUUCUUUAAGAAACAAUUUUAAACACUGAAUUAUGUUCUAAGUCCUCUGCUAACGUAAAAUGACAAAUGCACAGCCUAUUUAGCACUAUUUCCAUCUUUGCAUUUAUCUUAGCGUAACUCAGAUCGACUGUAGAUGUUUCUGAGUCAAGUAGCUUUUAUGUAGCAGUGUAAAUUAGGCCACAGAUAAAGUAAUCUGUAUAUUUUAAGCUUGAAACCAUCAGUGUCACAGAGCCGAGAGGUAAACAGAUGCCUUUGCAAUUUUACUGAGGCUAUGGCCAGAUGUUCCUAUUCACUCUCCUGUUGUGUGCAGGACAAACAUAUUGUAUCUACUUCACACUGACAGCACACAU